Molecule: non-coding RNA, 72 nt
Organism: Pangasianodon gigas (Mekong giant catfish)
Lineage: Eukaryota; Metazoa; Chordata; Actinopteri; Siluriformes; Pangasiidae
Source: the annotation of a GenBank genome assembly
UACCUGGAGGACUAGUGGGAAGGCCUCAGCGCUCUCACUGCUGUGGCACGGGUUCGAUUCCCGGCCAGGGAC